RNAcentral lists this ribosomal RNA (433 nucleotides) under uncultured bacterium. RNAcentral describes it as "partial 16S ribosomal RNA". It matches the Rfam family "Bacterial small subunit ribosomal RNA", at positions 29 to 507 of the family's 1533-position model. The record is from RNAcentral.
AACGAACGCUGGCGGCAGGCCUAACACAUGCAAGUCGAGCGAAGACAUCGGUCCUUGCUGCGGGCCGGUGAGCAACGCGCGGGAACGUGCCCUUUGCUCCGCCAUACCGCAGGGAAACGGGAAGUAAUACCGGCCGGGCCCUAUGGCGGAAAGAUCUUUCGGCCAAGGGUCGGCCCGCGUUGGAUUAGGUUGUUGGUGGGGUAAUGGCCUACCAAGCCGACGAAUCAUAGCUGGUUUGAGAGAAUGGUCCGCCACACUGAGAGUGGGACACGGCCCGGACUCCUCCGGAAGGCAGGAGUGUGGAACGGUAGAAAAUGGGGGAAGCCCUGAUCGAGCCCUGACGGUUGAGCGAUGAAGGCAUUAGAGUUGUAAAGCUCUUUUAGCUGCGAAGAUAAUGACGGUACCAGCAGAAGAAGCCCCGGCUAACUACGUG